RNAcentral lists this ribosomal RNA (425 nucleotides) under uncultured bacterium. Its description in RNAcentral is "bacterial SSU rRNA". It matches the Rfam family "Bacterial small subunit ribosomal RNA", at positions 354 to 796 of the family's 1533-position model. The record is from RNAcentral.
GUGGGGAAUAUUGGACAAUGGGCGCAAGCCUGAUCCAGCCAUGCCGCGUGAGUGAUGAAGGCCUUAGGGUUGUAAAGCUCUUUCAGUGGGGACGAUAAUGACGGUACCCACAGAAGAAGCCCCGGCUAACUUCGUGCCAGCAGCCGCGGUAAUACGAAGGGGGCUAGCGUUGUUCGGAUUUACUGGGCGUAAAGCGCACGUAGGCGGAUCGUUAAGUCGGGGGUGAAAUCCUGGAGCUCAACUCCAGAACUGCCUUCGAUACUGGCGAUCUUGAGUACGGAAGAAGUGAGUGGAACUCCUAAUGUAGAGGUGGAAUUCGUAGAUAUUAGGAAGAACACCAGUGGCGAAGGCGGCUCACUGGUCCGGUACUGACGCUGAGGUGCGAAAGCGUGGGGAGCAAACAGGAUUAGAUACCCCAGUAGUCC